GUUGUUCGGAAUUACUGGGCGUAAAGCGAGUGUAGGCGGUCUUGAAAGUCGGAUGUGAAAGCCCUGGGCUCAACCCAGGAAGUGCAUUCGAUACUCCGAGGCUAGAGUACUGGAGAGGUGGGUGGAAUUCUCGGUGUAGAGGUGAAAUUCGUAGAUAUCGAGAGGAACACCGGCGGCGAAGGCGGCCCACUGGACAGAUACUGACGCUGAGACUCGAAAGCGUGGGGAGCAAACAGG
Molecule: ribosomal RNA, 237 nt
Filed under: uncultured bacterium
Lineage: Bacteria
Description: partial 16S ribosomal RNA
Rfam family: Bacterial small subunit ribosomal RNA
Source: RNAcentral